This 637-nucleotide ribosomal RNA is filed under the name Penicillium dipodomyicola. RNAcentral describes it as "eukaryotic LSU rRNA". The stretch from base 179 to 331 matches the Rfam family "5.8S ribosomal RNA". The record is from RNAcentral. Lineage: Eukaryota; Fungi; Ascomycota; Eurotiomycetes; Eurotiales; Aspergillaceae.
GGGGCAUCGGAGUGAGGGCUCUGGGUCACCUCCCACCCGUGUUUAUUUACCUUGUUGCUUCGGCGGGCCCGCCUUAACUGGCCGCCGGGGGGCUCACGCCCCCGGGCCCGCGCCCGCCGAAGACACCCUCGAACUCUGUCUGAAGAUUGUAGUCUGAGUGAAAAUAUAAAUUAUUUAAAACUUUCAACAACGGAUCUCUUGGUUCCGGCAUCGAUGAAGAACGCAGCGAAAUGCGAUACGUAAUGUGAAUUGCAAAUUCAGUGAAUCAUCGAGUCUUUGAACGCACAUUGCGCCCCCUGGUAUUCCGGGGGGCAUGCCUGUCCGAGCGUCAUUGCUGCCCUCAAGCACGGCUUGUGUGUUGGGCCCCGUCCUCCGAUUCCGGGGGACGGGCCCGAAAGGCAGCGGCGGCACCGCGUCCGGUCCUCGAGCGUAUGGGGCUUUGUCACCCGCUCUGUAGGCCCGGCCGGCGCUUGCCGAUCAACCCAAAUUUUUAUCCAGGUUGACCUCGGAUCAGGUAGGGAUACCCGCUGAACUUAAGCAUAUCAAUAAGCGGAGGAAAACACGAUCUCAAAUCAGGUACAACUACCCGCUGAACUUAAACAUAUCAGUAUCCGGAGGACCUUAAAGGGGGCGGAAG